UACGUAGGGUGCAAGCGUUGUCCGGAAUUAUUGGGCGUAAAGAGCUCGUAGGCGGUUCGUCGCGUCGGCUGUGAAAUCCCGAGGCUCAACCUCGGGUCUGCAGUCGAUACUGGCAGGCUGGAGUUCGGUAGGGGAGACUGGAAUUCCUGGUGUAGCGGUGAAAUGCGCAGAUAUCAGGAGGAACACCGAUGGCGAAGGCAGGUCUCUGGGCCGAUACUGACGCUGAGGAGCGAAAGCGUGGGGAGCGAACAGG
Molecule: ribosomal RNA, 253 nt
Filed under: uncultured bacterium
Lineage: Bacteria
Description: partial 16S ribosomal RNA
Rfam family: Bacterial small subunit ribosomal RNA
Source: RNAcentral